GUGGCUGUAGUUCAAUUGGCAGAGCACAGGAUUGUGGUUCCUGUUGUCGUGGGUUCGAGCCCCAUCAGCCACCCCA
RNAcentral lists this transfer RNA (76 nucleotides) under bacterium. Its description in RNAcentral is "tRNA-His". It matches the Rfam family "tRNA". Rfam says of the family: Transfer RNA (tRNA) molecules are approximately 80 nucleotides in length. The record is from RNAcentral.